CAUACCUAUUUGAAGGGAUAGGGUCGGUUUGGCCGGAUUUCACACAGGUGUUGCAUGGCUGUUGUCAGCUCGUGUCGUGAGAUGUUGGGUUAAGUCCCGCAACGAGCGCAACCCUCAUCCUUAGUUACCAUCAGGUUAUGCUGGGGACUUUAAGGAAACUGCCAGUGAUAAACUGGAGGAAGGUGGGGAUGAUGUCAAGUCAUCAUGGCCCUUAUGGAGUGGGCUACACACGUGCUACAAUGGUGAUUACAAUGGGCUGCAAGGUCGCAAGGCUGAGCUAAUCCUAAAAAAUCAUCUCAGUUCGGAUUGUUCUCUGCAACUCGAGAGCAUGAAGUUGGAAUCGCUAGUAAUCGUGGAUCAGCAUGCCACGGUGAAUACGUUCUCGGGUCUUGUACACACUGCCCGUCACGCCAUGGGAAUUGGUUUCACUCGAAGCU
This 437-nucleotide ribosomal RNA is filed under the name Wolbachia pipientis. Its description in RNAcentral is "bacterial SSU rRNA". It matches the Rfam family "Bacterial small subunit ribosomal RNA", at positions 992 to 1428 of the family's 1533-position model. The record is from RNAcentral. Lineage: Bacteria; Pseudomonadati; Pseudomonadota; Alphaproteobacteria; Rickettsiales; Anaplasmataceae.